RNAcentral lists this long non-coding RNA (372 nucleotides) under Capsicum annuum. RNAcentral's name for it is "long non-coding RNA (CANN_LNC012964)". Lineage: Eukaryota; Viridiplantae; Streptophyta; Magnoliopsida; Solanales; Solanaceae. The record is from RNAcentral.
UUUGAAGUUGACCCUAAAAAUCUAUUUUGAGAGGCUGAAGUAAAACGAGUAUAACUCCUUAAUCAGAUGUUGGAUUUGGAUGAAACCAAUUGAAUUGGAAAGAAGACUCAGAGAUCUUUCUUUUGAUAUGUGGUAGCCCUCCCAGUUCAUUAUAUUGAGGGAGUUAUGAUCGUUCAAAGUUGACCCAAAAAACUGGCAGGCCUCAGUAGUUUUCCUGCACAUUUACUGUUCACAUCCCGGCCACCGUUUUAAAGUUUCGAACGAGCUCGCUUAUAUCCGAAACUUAUCCGUUUUUGGAAAUCUUUAUAUCGUUGGAAAGCUUAUUCAAUAACCUUCGUAUGGAACCAUCGACGGGAAAAUUCCGAUAUAAAU